Molecule: ribosomal RNA, 467 nt
Filed under: uncultured bacterium
Lineage: Bacteria
Description: partial 16S ribosomal RNA
Rfam family: Bacterial small subunit ribosomal RNA
Source: RNAcentral
GACGAACGCUGGCGGCGUGCUUAACACAUGCAAGUCGAACGGAAAGGCCCUGCUUUUGUGGGGUGCUCGAGUGGCGAACGGGUGAGUAACACGUGAGUAACCUGCCCUUGACUUUGGGAUAACUUCAGGAAACUGGGGCUAAUACCGGAUAGGAGCUCCUGCUGCAUGGUGGGGGCUGGAAAGUGUCGGCGGUUGGGGAUGGACUCGCGGCUGAUCAGCUUGUUGGUGGGGUGUUGGCUUACCAAGGCUUUGACGGGUAGCCGGCCUGAGAGGGUGACCGGCCAGAUUGGGACAGAGAUACGGCCAAGACGCAUUAGGGAGGCAGGAGUGGGGAAUAUUGCACAGAGGGCGGAAGCGUGAUGCAGCAACGCCGCGUGCGGGAUGACGGCCUUCGGGUUGGAAACCGCUUUCGCCUGUGACGAAGCGUGAGUGACGGUAAUGGGUGAAGAAGAACCGGCUAACUACGU